This 253-nucleotide ribosomal RNA is filed under the name uncultured bacterium. RNAcentral's name for it is "partial 16S ribosomal RNA". It matches the Rfam family "Bacterial small subunit ribosomal RNA", at positions 524 to 776 of the family's 1533-position model. The record is from RNAcentral.
UACGGAGGGGGCAAGCGUUGUUCGGAAUUACUGGGCGUAAAGGGCGCGCAGGCGGCUGCUCAAGUCAGGCGUGAAAGGCCUGGGCUCAACCCGGGAACUGCUUUUGAAACUGCCGAGCUAGAGUGCGGAAGGGGCAACUGGAAUUCCCAGUGUAGCGGUGAAAUGCGUAGAUAUUGGGAAGAACACCUGAGGCGAAGGCGGGUUGCUGGGCCGACACUGACGCUGAUGCGCGAAAGCCAGGGGAGCGAACGGG